RNAcentral lists this long non-coding RNA (500 nucleotides) under Canis lupus familiaris (dog). RNAcentral describes it as "lncRNA (ENSCAFG00000055436.1)". The record is from RNAcentral. Lineage: Eukaryota; Metazoa; Chordata; Mammalia; Carnivora; Canidae.
UGUGGCCUGUGUCCUCAUUCGUUCACAUGUUUGCUGGGGGCCCACCCCCAUUCAAGGCCCCAGGAUACAGAGGAGACCACUGCUCCUGCAGAGCCUCCCCUCAAGCGUGGAAGAAAUAAAUAAGCAGGUCAGAGCGCCUUCUGGGGAGGAAGGCGGCGGCCUCCCAGCUCCGGUCUCCUUAAGUGCACCCUGGGAAGUCUUCACACUGCCUUUCUUUUCCCCCGGUGGUCUAAUCUGGAGUCAGAUCCAGCCGCUGGCUCCUACAGCCGGGGAAGGACUGCGAGCCAACAGGAAAACAACAGUUACCCUUAUCACGCUGACCCGGAGGACCUCUGUGCGUGACAUUCCAUGUCCCUGCCUCAAAUUCUGCAAACGUGCUUUUAGGUGUUGAUGGGACAGGCUCUCCGGUUGUUCUUAAAAAAAGAUGUUACUUCUCUCCUUUACACCGCUUUCCACAAGGAUGACUUGAAAUUUCUUUUAAAGAAGAGUUCUUUCAGGAU